GGUUAACGUCAGGGGCGUGAGCGAAGAAGGGGCGUCCCAGGAAGAGGGACAGGGAAACGUUGGUAGUCAGUGAAAAAGAGAAAGAUAGUUCCUCUUAGCCUGGUCUACACGCCACCUCCGGCGGUACGUUCAGCUCCACGCGACUUCACGAGUGAAACAUUUCGCGGGUUUCGCGGGGAGCUUUUCCGCAAGACUCGCCGGUAGUGGGAGGUUCAAGGUGGUAGAGGAGUGAAGGAAGGACAACGGUAUUCCCGUUAAUUGAACGACUCUCUCGCGUGGGGAAGGAGGUACCUGGGAGGGAGACGCGACACUCUCUACUCCGGAUCGAGAAGAGGGAGAAGGAUUACUUGCAGUAAUUACUUAUUUUUAUUACGCUCCGCCUUCCUGUCCUCUUUUCCUCUCCUUCAUACUCGAUACUCACUCUACUCCCUUCCCCAAUCUUCGUCCUCAUCGUCGUCGUCGUCGUACGUUCAACGUCGCCAACGGACCUAACCACCAGUUCGACCAGUUACCGCGGUUCAACUUUGCUGUUUUUCUUAACCAGUAGAUGCGACUUUAGAUAAGAGUUUUGACAAGUGCGCCUGCGACCGUCUAUGGGGUGCCGACUGAACGACGAGCCAUGCCUUCAGGAACUCAGGGAGAGGCACGUACGAGCGAGUGGACAUGACAUCCGCCUACGCUAGGCUACCACCAUCUAAGGUGCGUUUAUUUUGGCGACCUUUACGACACGAGUUUACGAUCGGCUGAACGGAUUCUGUUGAACUUCGUAAUGAUUUUCGGAAGUUUGCGGAAAAAACAUCGGGGACGAGAAAAAAAGAUUUUUGGACCGUUCAACUCUAUCGGGGAGAGGGUUGCUUUCAGCCAAGGAGAAACAAUAAAAUUCGUUAAAUUAUUAGCCGUUAUAUUGGACGGGACUAGACAGGAGAAGUAAGAAAGUGACUCUUUUGAAAAAAAUGAAAUAGUAUUAAAAUAAGAAAGAAAGAAAAAGGGGGAACAACAAUAACAACAACAACGUUCGAUGAACGUAGAGAGAAAUGACCGAAUGGUGGAACGGACAGAGAGGGGGGGGUUGGUUGAAGAGGGACGCGAAAAGAACGACGCGUAUCCGUAUAGCUCAUGGAGAAAGGAACGAAAAGUUAAGAAAAGGCAAAGGUUCAACAGGGAUAAGUCCAACAGGAAUAUUGAAAGCCGGUCCUUCGAACGAGGCCAGCGAUCAAGAGAGCCAAUUAUCUCAAAGACCCACCACCACUACUCCUCGUUCCAACCCCUCACCUACCUGCUUUCUCUCUCUCUCUCUCUCUCUAUUUCUCUUUUCUUCUUUGCCCCCACAUACGCGUACUCACGUCGAACAUAUUUUUCCUACGUACCUUAUGCGAAUAUUCAAAGUACACUCAAGCUACCGAAGUACUAACAUACUCGAAUAGUAUAUUCGAACGCGCGUUCGUUCGUUCGUUCCAUUUCGUUUCGUUUCGUUUCGUUUCGUUUCGUUUCGUUCGUUUAUUCGAAGAGCACCGUAUACAUAAUGCCUACAUACGUAGAUAGAUACGUGGAGGUACAUUAUGCGAAUCGAGCAUCAUAGAUCGUUGCCGUUCUAAUAAAGCUAAGGGUACUUUCUCGCGAUCACCCGCAAAC
RNAcentral lists this long non-coding RNA (1632 nucleotides) under Polistes canadensis. RNAcentral describes it as "uncharacterized LOC106784085, transcript variant X2". Lineage: Eukaryota; Metazoa; Arthropoda; Insecta; Hymenoptera; Vespidae. The record is from RNAcentral.